This 273-nucleotide ribosomal RNA is filed under the name uncultured bacterium. RNAcentral describes it as "partial 16S ribosomal RNA". It matches the Rfam family "Bacterial small subunit ribosomal RNA", at positions 523 to 796 of the family's 1533-position model. The record is from RNAcentral.
AUACGGAGGGUCCAAGCGUUAUCCGGAAUCAUGGGGUUUAAGGGUCCGCAGGCGGUCAAUUAAGUCAGAGGUGAAAGCCCAUCGCUCAACGAUGGAACUGCCUUUGAUACUGGUUGACUUGAGUUAUACGGAAGUAGAUAGAAUAAGUAGUGUAGCGGUGAAAUGCAUAGAUAUUACUUAGAAUACCGAUUGCGAAGGCAGUCUACUACGUAUAUACUGACGCUGAGGGACGAAAGCGUGGGGAGCGAACAGGAUUAGAAACCCUUGUAGUCC